CCCCCCUGCCUCUCUCUCUCUCUCUCUCUCUCUCGCCCCCAUCGGAGCCCGCCGAAAACUGGCGAUGUCUCACCUCGUCCUUCUUUUCCUCCCCUUCUCUCCCUCUUCCCAUGGUACCAGACCUGCCUCGCAAUCCGAUCCCUCCCUUCGCUGCCGCGGGCCGAUGGCCGAGCCCCACCGCUUCCCGCAGCCGCAAGAGAGCACCGUCUGCCUCUUCCCAAGGUUGGAAUCGGCCUUUUCCCAAACAUGGGUUAGACGCUUCUACGGGUGUCACUUUUGAUCAGAGUGAUAACGGACGUAAUCUGGUUGUCGCCCAAUUGUGAGAAGCGCCCUUCUUGGUUGUUCUUGAUUCACACUCCUUUAAUCAGGGCCUGGCCAUGCACAGGAUUUUGUUAGGCACUCUAUUAUUUUAGCUGGUUCUGGAUCUCGGGAUAGAAGAUUUGUAUCCCUUUUCUCAUUGGUCUGAGCCUCUUGACAGUUGCUCACAUAUCAGUGCUACUAAGGCAAAGGUUGUUCUUUGUCUUUUGUGAGGCUCUUCAUCGGUGUGCUUUUAGUAAAUUUGUGCUUGAAGUAUAUCAUCUGGCUUCGCUAUUAUGUGAUGCAUAUAUGUGACUUAUAAUUUUCUCUAUUCAUAUUUCACUAUGUUUAUGACCUUUCCUAUUGCUAAAUGCCCUCUUCUAUUUCACCAUGGAGAAAUGAGACAGAUUUGUCUAUUCUUGGUUACAGUUCAUUCUUAAAGUGAGAAAAUAUUGCAUGGAGCUUUUGUAGGUUAUUGUUCCUUAUAUAACUUGCAAAAAGAUAUUUUCUAAGACUAUAUUCACUGUACGGAUAUUAUGGAUCAUGGCCUAUGUAGAUUCUGUACAUGUCCUUGUUAGUGUUACUUUUGUCAAAUUGGAUUAGCCUACAUUAAAUUCUGGACAUUCAGCUUUGUGUUUUCUGCCUGAAAUUAGGUGUGGUUGCAUCUAGUCUGUUUUAUCUUCUCAUAUUUCUAACAUACAAGGACUUGGGAAGUCAAGGCUUGAAAGGUUAUAUUAGUUGUAUAAGCUUGUAAGUUGUUAAGGAACAAAAGUACAGUAGCGGGUGAGUCAGCACGGUUUGGUCCACGGGCCUACAUCGGGAACUUCUGGUGGAAUGAGUAGGAUGAUGAGGUGGCUGCGCCUCUUGAGUGUCUCGGGCGAGGGUUGGACCGGCAAGGUCGGCUGGGUCCAUGCGAGUGGCUAGGGGUUGGCGCUCCGAGGUCUGCCGACUUGAGUGUCGUUUGUGGCGGGAUGUGUCCUCUCGUCCCCGGGGUGGUUGGCAACCUUUCUUCGCGACGUGGGCACAGGCUGGCGUUGGUUGGGAUCCGAACCGACGGACCACCCUCUUCUGCGCACCAAAUGAUGACUUCGGAGUGAAGACGCCCGCCGCUCGGGGGUGACCACCUCCCUGCAAAACGGUCUUCAUCGAGUGCUUCCCGACUUUGGCCUCUCCGACGAGUAAGUCAGUUCAGUUCGCCCUUUUGUGUUUCUUCUCCUUUUUUUCUCCCCCCUCGGUUGGGCAUCGGACGGGGAUAUUUAUACCUGCGUGCGAUGGUUGGUUGCGCCUCGGUUCGACGUGGUCGCUGACUUUCGUGUGGGUCGGAAGACUUCUCUGACUAGAUGGCGUCUUUGGGGGUGCACGAGUGGCAUCGGACGGCACUACCCCAAGAGCAGACGGCACCUCCCCGAGCUCUCGAGGUGGUCAAGUCGCACAGUGUAUUGGUACCGAACUUGACGUGGCGUGCACCUCAUGGUUUUGAUGGCGUGUGGCGUUGCGUUAGUGUCUGACGGUGUGUGAUGUUGUUGGUGAUUCAUCUAGGGCCAAAAUAUACCCUAUCAUAAGUAGUAUCAGCUCAUUGGUCCACACCACUUCCUGAUUGCCAAUGCUUUAUAAAAGUGAUCUUUUAUUUUGCAUGUAUUAAUAGAGAUAAUCCCUCCUGAAAAAAUGUUACAAAAGUCUGCUUUGUGUACCAUACCUAUCAUUCAUGUUCUCUUCAACUGAACAGUCUGAAUUCAGCUUUAUGGAGUUGAUGGUGCCAAUUGCCUGGAGCCCUGUGCUCGGGAGACUGUAAUAGCAGAUGAAAAUAUUAACUAUUUGACAAUAAGGUUAACAUAAAUCGGUGUGUAGAAGAUAAAACAAAAGUUGUUAAUGUGGAUAAGUCAUAUAGUAAAUUUUCUUUGGAUGCUUCACAGUGACUAUGUUCUAUGUAUCUGCCAACUUGGGAAGCAGAUCCGUUCCUCACAAGACCAUAUUCUUAGCACCUUUCGUCUGUCAAGAUUUCAAUGAUUACAUCCACUUCAGGUAACAAUCUGGUUCCAAUUCUUUGGGAGGAAGUUUGCCAUCAGAUCUAGGUCAAGGGUCUCUUGUAAACUUGUUUAUGUUGGCCAUGGCGGAUCAUGAUGACAGCCCGUACCAAUGCCAUGUCAAUUGGGUGUCGAUAAGUAGACCAAUAACACGUUUAUUGCACGUGCGUAUUCAAACAUCAUGGUUUUUUUUUUGUUUCAAGAACAAGGAUGUUGAGGUCAUUUAGGAUUUCCUCUCUUGAAACACCUCUCCCCUCCCCUCCCUAGGGCUCCUCCUCGACCUUCGAUAUAGACCCUCGUCCCGUUUCUUUCUUCUUUUGCCUCUGCCGCCAGCCACGAUGAAGUACAACCCGCGUCUCAAGCUCCCGGCGGAAAUGCCGAAAGGCGCACUUCACUGCGCCAUCGAGCGUCCAGUGCGUGCCGAUGAGCGCGCCCCUCUCGGCUGACCUCCGCAACAAGUAAAACGUGCGGUCAGUCCCGGUGCGCAAGGACGACGAGGUCCAGGUGGUGCGGGGCACCUACAAGGGCCGGGAGGGCAAGGUCGGUGUACCGCAGGAAGUGGGUCAUCCACGUCGAGCGUCUCAUCCGGGAGAUUAACUAAUUCUCUCUAUAAGGGGGGGUAUUUUAAUUAUGAUUUUUUUUUCUCU
Molecule: long non-coding RNA, 2968 nt
Organism: Musa acuminata AAA Group (dessert banana)
Lineage: Eukaryota; Viridiplantae; Streptophyta; Magnoliopsida; Zingiberales; Musaceae
Exons: 5
Source: RefSeq, a predicted model, not a curated record